Molecule: ribosomal RNA, 258 nt
Filed under: uncultured bacterium
Lineage: Bacteria
Description: partial 16S ribosomal RNA
Rfam family: Bacterial small subunit ribosomal RNA
Source: RNAcentral
GCGGACGGGUGGGUAACGCGUGGGUAACCUGCCUUAUACAGGGGGAGUAACAGUCAGAAAUGGCUGCUAAUACCGCAUAAGCGCACAGAGCUGCAUGGCUCAGUGUGAAAAACUCCGGUGGUAUAAGAUGGACCCGCGUUGGAUUAGCUGGUUGGUGGGGUAACGGCCCACCAAGGCGACGAUCCAUAGCCGGCCUGAGAGGGUGAACGGCCACAUUGGGACUGAGACACGGCCCAGACUCCUACGGGAGGCAGCAUG